CCUACGGGAGACUGCAGUGAGGAAUAUUGGUCAAUGGGCGCGAGCCUGAACCAGCCAAGUAGCGUGAAGGAUGACUGCCCUACGGGUUGUAAACUUCUUUUAUAAAGGAAUAAAGUGAGGCACGUGUGCCUUUUUGUAUGUACUUUAUGAAAAAGCAUCGGCUAACUCCGUGCCAGCAGCCGCGGUAAUACGGAGGAUGCGAGCGUUAUCCGGAUUUAUUGGGUUUAAAGGGUGCGUAGGCGGAUCGUUAAGUCAGUGGUCAAAUUGUGGGGCUCAACCCAUUCCCGCCAUUGAAACUGGCGUUCUUGAGUAGAAGAGAGGUAUGCGGAAUGCGUGGUGUAGCGGUGAAAUGCAUAGAUAUCACGCAGAACCCCGAUUGCGAAGGCAGCAUGCCGGCUUCCGACUGACGCUGAAGCACGAAAGCGUGGGGAUCAAACAGGAUUAGAUACCCCUGUAGUC
Molecule: ribosomal RNA, 459 nt
Filed under: uncultured bacterium
Lineage: Bacteria
Description: partial 16S ribosomal RNA
Rfam family: Bacterial small subunit ribosomal RNA
Source: RNAcentral